GACGAACGCUGGCGGCGUGCCUAAUACAUGCCAGUAGAACGCUGAAGGAGGAGCUUGCUCUUCUGGAUGAGUUGCGAACGGGUGAGUAACGCGUAGGUAACCUGCCUGGUAGCGGGGGAUAACUAUUGGAAACGAUAGCUAAUACCGCAUAAAAUUGAUUAUUGCAUGAUAGUCAAUUAAAAGGUGCAAUUGCAUCACUACCAGAUGGACCUGCGUUGUAUUAGCUAGUUGGUGAGGUAACGGCUCACCAAGGCAACGAUACAUAGCCGACCUGAGAGGGUGAUCGGCCACACUGGGACUGAGACACGGCCCAGACUCCUACGGGAGGCAGCAGUAGGGAAUCUUCGGCAAUGGACGGAAGUCUGACCGAGCAACGCCGCGUGAGUGAAGAAGGUUUUCGGACCGUAAAGCUCUGUUGUAAGAGAAGAACGAGUGUGAGAGUGGAAAGUUCACACUGUGACGGUAUCUUACCAGAAAGGGACGGCUAACUACGUG
This 495-nucleotide ribosomal RNA is filed under the name uncultured bacterium. RNAcentral's name for it is "partial 16S ribosomal RNA". It matches the Rfam family "Bacterial small subunit ribosomal RNA", at positions 28 to 507 of the family's 1533-position model. The record is from RNAcentral.